This 234-nucleotide ribosomal RNA is filed under the name Triticum aestivum (bread wheat). Its description in RNAcentral is "partial small subunit ribosomal RNA". The record is from RNAcentral. Lineage: Eukaryota; Viridiplantae; Streptophyta; Magnoliopsida; Poales; Poaceae.
AUGCAGCUCGGUUUAGGUCAGAAAAGCAACAGGAUCAAUCAAAUGGAUCACACUAGCAACAUGUUGGCAAAUAAGCAUGCACCUGCGGAGCAGUUCAUCGGCGCUGUGACUUCGUCGUAUGCGCAGUGCGGCGAUGGCGCGGGACAGUCUGGGUGGCGGCGGCGUGUAAAAGCCUCACAAAGUUCAGACAGUCUGGGCGGCACCUUUGUUGGCGAAGAGCUUAGACGUGAAUGA